CAGCCGCCGCGGUAAUACGAAGGGUGCAAGCGUUACUCGGAAUUACUGGGCGUAAAGCGUGCGUAGGUGGUGGUUUAAGUCCGUUGUGAAAGCCCUGGGCUCAACCUGGGAAUUGCAGUGGAUACUGGGCCACUAGAGUGUGGUAGAGGAUAGUGGAAUUUCCGGUGUAGCAGCGAAAUGCGUAGAGAUCGGAAGGAACAUCUGUGGCGAAGGCGACUAUCUGGGCCAACACUGACACUGAGGCACGAAAGCGUGGGGAGCAAACAGGAUUAGAUACCCCUGUAGUCCCUGUCUCUUAUAC
RNAcentral lists this ribosomal RNA (301 nucleotides) under uncultured bacterium. Its description in RNAcentral is "partial 16S ribosomal RNA". It matches the Rfam family "Bacterial small subunit ribosomal RNA", at positions 509 to 807 of the family's 1533-position model. The record is from RNAcentral.